UAUGAUAUGAAAAAUUGUGAAUUUCAGCUGAAAGUGGCUGAAAUGUUAAAGGAAUUGUUUAAAAAAUCAGCAUGAAUAUUGCACAAGUAAAAUAAAAUGGUCAGGUGCGUUCUAACCUGUUCUCAAUGACAAGACAAUGCAUGUUUAUCAUGUUAAGAGCAGUCAGGGAUUGCUCAGUUGGUUUAUAAUUAUUUGAUAAGCUAGACAGAGGUCAACUUGUACUCCUACUAUUGACUUAACUUGACCAAACAAAACAGGAGAUCGGUCAGGUGUUUACAGGUAUUUGACAUGAUUGUACAUGGCAUCACUUUAGUCAGUUCUUUGGCCAACCUGCAUGCCUGAUGUUGUACCUGUGUAAAAUUAUUGAACGAAUUAUGCUGAACACAUCAACCAGUUGUUGCUGGGUGCGUUGUUGCUUAACCCAGACGUCACAGUGUUUUGGAACAUGCGGAGAGAGCUGACUAGCCUGGAUCCUCAGUUCGAGCUGCAC
Molecule: long non-coding RNA, 490 nt
Organism: Homalodisca vitripennis (glassy-winged sharpshooter)
Lineage: Eukaryota; Metazoa; Arthropoda; Insecta; Hemiptera; Cicadellidae
Exons: 2
Source: RefSeq, a predicted model, not a curated record